GUGGGGAAUUUUGGACAAUGGGCGCAAGCCUGAUCCAGCGACGCCGCGUGGAGGACGAAGGCCUUCGGGUUGUAAACUCCUUUUGGAGGGGAAGAAUAAAUUGACGGUACCCUCAGAAAAAGCCACGGCUAACUACGUGCCAGCAGCCGCGGUAAUACGUAGGUGGCGAGCGUUACUCGGAAUUACUAGGCGUAAAGCGUAUGUAGGUGGUUAGAUAAGUCUAUGGUGAAAUUUCCUGGCUUAACUGGGAAGGGACAUAGAUACUAUCUGGCUUGAGUGUGGGAGGGGGAGACGGAAUUCCUGGUGUAGCGGUGAAAUGCGUAGAUAUCAGGAGGAACACCGAUGGCGAAAGCAGUCUCCUGGCCCAAUACUGACACUGAGGUACGAAAGCUAGGGUAGCAAACAGGAUUAGAUACCCCAGUAGUCC
RNAcentral lists this ribosomal RNA (427 nucleotides) under uncultured bacterium. Its description in RNAcentral is "partial 16S ribosomal RNA". It matches the Rfam family "Bacterial small subunit ribosomal RNA", at positions 354 to 796 of the family's 1533-position model. The record is from RNAcentral.